RNAcentral lists this ribosomal RNA (464 nucleotides) under uncultured bacterium. RNAcentral describes it as "partial 16S ribosomal RNA". It matches the Rfam family "Bacterial small subunit ribosomal RNA", at positions 28 to 507 of the family's 1533-position model. The record is from RNAcentral.
GACGAACGCUGGCGGCGUGCUUAACACAUGCAAGUCGAACGGAAAGGCCCAGCUUGCUGGGUGCUCGAGUGGCGAACGGGUGAGUAACACGUGGGUGAUCUGCCCCUAACUUCGGGAUAAGCUUGGGAAACUGGGUCUAAUACCGGAUGGGACAAUCGUUUAGUGUCGGUUGUGGAAAGUUUUUUCGGUUAGGGAUGAGCCCGCGGCCUAUCAGCUUGUUGGUGGGGUAAUGGCCUACCAAGGCGUCGACGGGUAGCCGGCCUGAGAGGGUGGACGGCCACAUUGGGACUGAGGUACGGCCCAGACUCCUACGGGAGGCAGCAGUGGGGAAUAUUGUACAAUGGGCGCAAGCCUGAUGCAGCGACGCCGCGUGGGGGAUGACGGCCUUCGGGUUGUAAACCUCUUUCGACAGGGACGAAGCUUUGGUGACGGUACCUGUAGAAGAAGCACCGGCUAACUACGUG